This 515-nucleotide ribosomal RNA is filed under the name uncultured archaeon. RNAcentral's name for it is "bacterial SSU rRNA". It matches the Rfam family "Archaeal small subunit ribosomal RNA", at positions 345 to 859 of the family's 1478-position model. The record is from RNAcentral.
AACCUUUACACUGCACGACAGUGCGAUAGGGGGACUCCGAGUGCGAGGGCGUAGAGCCCUCGCUUUUGUACACCGUAAGGUGGUGUACGAAUAAGAACUGGGCAAGACCGGUGCCAGCCGCCGCGGUAAUACCGGCAGUUCGAGUGAUGGCCGAUUUUAUUGGGCCUAAAGCGUUCGUAGCUGGCCGAUCAAGUCUGUCGGGAAAUCUGCUCGCCUAACGAGCAGGCGUCCGGCGGAAACUGAUCGGCUUGGGACCGGAAGACUCGAGGGGUACGUCCGGGGUAGGAGUGAAAUCCUGUAAUCCUGGACGGACCACCGAUGGCGAAAGCACCUCGAGAGCACGGAUCCGACAGUGAGGAACGAAAGCUGGGGUCUCGAACCGGAUUAGAUACCCGGGUAGUCCCAGCUGUCAACGAUGCCCGCUAGGUAUGGCGCAGGCUACGAGCCUGUGCUAUGCCGUAGCGAAGGCGCUAAGCGGGCCGCCUGGGAAGUACGUUCGCAAGAAUGAAACUUAA